Molecule: ribosomal RNA, 208 nt
Filed under: uncultured bacterium
Lineage: Bacteria
Description: partial 16S ribosomal RNA
Rfam family: Bacterial small subunit ribosomal RNA
Source: RNAcentral
CGUGUAGGCGGCUUAUUAAGUUGGAUGUGAAAGCUCCUGGCUUAACUGGGAGAGGACGUUCAAAACUAGUAAGCUUGAGUACGAGAGAGGAAAAUGGAAUUCCGGGUGUAGUGGUGAAAUGCGUAGAUAUCCGGAGGAACACCAGUGGCGAAGGCGAUUUUCUGGCUCGAGACUGACGCUCAGACGCGAAAGCUAGGGUAGCAAACGG